CCUACGGGAGGCUGCAGUGGGGAAUAUUGGGCAAUGGGCGCAAGCCUGACCCAGCAACGCCGCGUGAAGGAAGAAGGCUCUCGGGUUGGAAACUUCUUUUUAGAGGGAAGAGAAGAAGACGGUACCUCUUGAAUAAGCCACGGCUAACUACGUGCCAGCAGCAGCGGUAAUACGUAGGUGGCAGGCGUUGUCCGGAUUUACUGGGUGUAAAGGGCGUGCAGCCGGGAAGACAAGUCAGAUGUGAAAUCCCGCGGCUCAACCGCGGAACUGCAGUUGAAACUGUUUUUCUUGAGUACCGGAGAGGUCAUCGGAAUGCCUUGUGUAGCGGUGAAAUGCGUAGAUAUAAGGCAGAACACCAGUGGCGAAGGCGGAUGACUGGACGGCAACUGACGGUGAGGCGCGAAAGCGUGGGGAGCGAACAGGAUUAGAUACCCUAGUAGUC
RNAcentral lists this ribosomal RNA (442 nucleotides) under uncultured bacterium. Its description in RNAcentral is "partial 16S ribosomal RNA". It matches the Rfam family "Bacterial small subunit ribosomal RNA", at positions 338 to 795 of the family's 1533-position model. The record is from RNAcentral.